AUUGAACGCUGGCGGCAUGCCUUACACAUGCAAGUCGAACGGCAGCGGGGGAGAAGCUUGCUUUUCCUGCCGGCGAGUGGCGAACGGGUGAGUAAUACAUCGGAACGUGCCCUGUAGUGGGGGAUAACUAGUCGAAAGAUUAGCUAAUACCGCAUACGACCUGAGGGUGAAAGUGGGGGACCGCAAGGCCUCAUGCUAUAGGAGCGGCCGAUGUCUGAUUAGCUAGUUGGGGGGGGAAAGGCCUACCAAGGCGACGAUCAGUAGCUGGUCUGGGAGGACGAUCAGCCACACUGGGACUGAGACACGGCCCAGACUCCUACGGGAGGCAGCAGUGGGGAAUUUUGGACAAUGGGCGAAAGCCUGAUCCAGCAAUGCCGCGUGUGUGAAGAAGGCCUUCGGGUUGUAAGGCACUUUUGUCCGGAAAGAAAUGGCUCUGGUUAAUACCUGGGGUCGAUGACGGUACCGGAAGAAUAAGGACCGGCUAACUACGUGCCAGCCGCCGCCGUAA
RNAcentral lists this ribosomal RNA (508 nucleotides) under uncultured bacterium. RNAcentral describes it as "partial 16S ribosomal RNA". It matches the Rfam family "Bacterial small subunit ribosomal RNA", at positions 30 to 523 of the family's 1533-position model. The record is from RNAcentral.